This 347-nucleotide long non-coding RNA is filed under the name Eucalyptus grandis. Its description in RNAcentral is "long non-coding RNA (EGRA_LNC002320)". Lineage: Eukaryota; Viridiplantae; Streptophyta; Magnoliopsida; Myrtales; Myrtaceae. The record is from RNAcentral.
CUUCAAGCUUUUCAAUCUUGCCGAGCACUCCUUCAGCUGCUGUCCAUCUUCAAACGUCGGUCUCCCCUUUCCUCAUAACCGGAACAAGCUGCCUUGUCUUCAUUUGUUAGUUUCGUCCGAAACUCAACUCAAACCCACCGAAAUUCUCAACUCUAGCUCUCGCUGUUCACUGUCCACCGAACGAAAUCUCCACGCCAGCCUCACCAUCGAAAUCUUUUGCUCAUCUUUAGCCGCAGCCAUCCACGCGUCCGAGUCCCAUCUCAUUCGGUCCAUCAGCUUGCCGUGAAGCCGUGAGAUCUACCGAGCUGCCACCUGCCGACUACUUGGCCUGCUUCAGUCAACAACAG